AGUGAACGCUGGCGGCGUGCUUAACACAUGCGAGUCGAACGAUAACGGAUUAUAGCUUGCUAUAAUUGUCAGCUAAGUGGCGCACGGGUGAGUAAUGUAUAGGUAAUAUGCCUCUUACUAAGGGAUAACAAAUGGAAACGUUUGCUAAUACCUUAUACUCCUUAUUAACAGAAGUUAAUAAGGGAAAGAUUUAUUGGUAAGAGAUUAGCCUGUAUUGUAUCAGUUAGUUGGUGGGGUAAUGGCUUACCAAGACUAUGACACAUAACUGGUUUGAGAGGAUGAUCAGUCACACUGGAACUGAGACACGAUCCAGACUCCUACGGGAGGCAGCAGUGGGGAAUAUUGCACAAUGGACGAAAGUCUGAUGCAGCAACGCCGCGUGGAGGAUGACACAUUUCGGUGCGUAAACUCCUUUUAUAUGAGAAGAUAAUGACGGUAUUAUAUGAAUAGGCACCGGCUAACUCCGUGCCAGCAGCCGCAGUAA
Molecule: ribosomal RNA, 484 nt
Filed under: uncultured bacterium
Lineage: Bacteria
Description: partial 16S ribosomal RNA
Rfam family: Bacterial small subunit ribosomal RNA
Source: RNAcentral